RNAcentral lists this transfer RNA (53 nucleotides) under Gnathostoma doloresi. Its description in RNAcentral is "tRNA-Tyr". The record is from RNAcentral. Lineage: Eukaryota; Metazoa; Nematoda; Chromadorea; Rhabditida; Gnathostomatidae.
AAAAGAUUAGUUUAUUAAAAUAUCAAAUUGUAAAUUUGAAGAAGAGUCUUUUG